Molecule: small nuclear RNA, 107 nt
Filed under: Chinchilla lanigera (long-tailed chinchilla)
Lineage: Eukaryota; Metazoa; Chordata; Mammalia; Rodentia; Chinchillidae
Source: RNAcentral
GUGCUUGCUUCAGCAGCACAUAUACUAAAAUUGGAACUAUACAGAGAAGAUUAGUGUGGCCUUUGCGCAAGGAUGUCAGGCAAAUUUGUGAAGCAUUCCAUGUUUUA